RNAcentral lists this non-coding RNA (96 nucleotides) under unclassified sequences. RNAcentral describes it as "Rhodo-rpoB RNA". It matches the Rfam family "Rhodo-rpoB RNA". The record is from RNAcentral.
GGUUCGGGAGCUGCCUGACGGGACAGGUGGCAGGUAUGGAACCGGUCUCCCCUCUGCCCUUGCGGUGCGUCUUCCGUGGCCCGACGGAAGCAUGCG